This 318-nucleotide long non-coding RNA is filed under the name Callithrix jacchus (white-tufted-ear marmoset). RNAcentral describes it as "lncRNA (ENSCJAG00000084436.1)". Lineage: Eukaryota; Metazoa; Chordata; Mammalia; Primates; Cebidae. The record is from RNAcentral.
GGCCGCCCACAGCAGGUCCCUUUGUGAUUGGCUGAACAGGCUGUCCAGACCGGCUUACCCAGAACUCCAGGAGAGGGAAUCCAGGCUGGUUUGCAAAUGCACAGAGCUCCUCCUGGGCCAGAGUUCCUUCUCUGCAGUGAUGCUGGUUUUAUUCUUGUUUUUCUCACUGUUUUUCCUUUAAGAGUAAGGUGGUAUUUCACUGUGGUUUGGAUUUGCAUUUCCCUGGUAAUAGUGAUGGUGAGUAUUUUUUCAUGUUUGUUAGCCAUUUGUAUAUCUUCUUUGAGAAUUGUCUAUUCAUGUACUUUGCCAAUUUUUUGA